This 314-nucleotide long non-coding RNA is filed under the name Mytilus galloprovincialis (Mediterranean mussel). The record is from RNAcentral. Lineage: Eukaryota; Metazoa; Mollusca; Bivalvia; Mytilida; Mytilidae.
UGCGAAGAGAACAAAUGGGAUUUUUGCCCCUGUUAUAUUUAGAAUUAUGCGUAAAGUGAUAUUACUCAUGAACCAUACAUAAUACAGACCUAGGGUCUUUUAAUUUGGGAUCCUUGGUUCAUGACCUUGAAAUUGGGGUCAAGGUCAUAGGUUAAUUGGACGUUCUAGAUUUUGACCUUUGCUUGAAAUUCAUAUUUAUAUAUCAUUUAGCCAUAGGAACUGACAUUUUCAACUGAAUUUUAAUAUUUUCAUAUCAAAAUAGAUCCUUAUUGGUGGAAAGACCUUCAAUUGUUCUUUGAACAAUUGGUUUUUAA